GUGAGGGAAAGUUGCAAAGCACUUUGAAGAGAGAGUUAAAGAGGACGUGAAACUGGUGAGGUGGAAACGGAUAGAGCCAGCGGAUCUGGCUUGCAUUCAAUCGUUCUGCCCGUGGGUGCCGAGGCUGCCGCUUCUCCAGAUUGGGACGGUGUCGAGGCAAUGCCUGAGGGCGAAUGAUGCAAUUGCAAGUGGAGUGCGCCGAGUGGCCUGAGGCAGCGGCAUGAACUUGGCUUUGAGGCCAGCCCGAAAGGGUAUGGAACCCGGGUCAGGGGAGUGCUGUUUGUCCUUGGGUGAGUUUGUUUGGCAUGGCUUACGGGCUUGGAUGGGUGCCGAGCUGGUGGCAGGUACCGGUCGCAUGCGACACGGACCAGUGGUCAGCUCGGUCCUGUUCGAGCUCUCAUGCUCUUACUCGGUGUAAAAGCUGGUCAUCUCUCCGACCCGUCUUGAAACACGGACCAAGGAGUUUAUCGUGUGCGCGAGUCAUUGGGUGUUGAAAACCCAAAGGCGAAAUGAAAGUGAAGGUGCCCGCAAGGGGCUGACGUGCGAUCUGGUGUGCCUUGGCCCACUAGCGCAGCAUGGCCCCAUCCUGAAUGCUUGCAUUGGGGUGGAGGCAGAGCGUACGCGAUGAGACCCGAAAGAUGGUGAACUAUUCCUGAGCAGGAUGAAGCCAGAGGAAACUCUGGUGGAAGUC
RNAcentral lists this ribosomal RNA (691 nucleotides) under Trophurus imperialis. Its description in RNAcentral is "eukaryotic LSU rRNA". It matches the Rfam family "Eukaryotic large subunit ribosomal RNA", at positions 353 to 875 of the family's 3401-position model. The record is from RNAcentral. Lineage: Eukaryota; Metazoa; Nematoda; Chromadorea; Rhabditida; Telotylenchidae.